Molecule: long non-coding RNA, 3025 nt
Filed under: Gallus gallus (chicken)
Lineage: Eukaryota; Metazoa; Chordata; Aves; Galliformes; Phasianidae
Description: long non-coding RNA NONGGAT003899
Source: RNAcentral
GCUUCAGCUCAGAAUGAGUCCGCUCUGGAGCUGAGUGCCUGACCAAAAAGGUCGCUCCUCGAGAAGGAAGUGUUAAAGGCGCAAGAGCAGGUGGACCAAUGUGCAGGAAGGUACAUGAGGUGCCUAGGAGUCACAGCAAGACCAAGCUGUGAGGAGGAUCCCACAGCAACACAGGGCCAGUUCUUGUGGAUCACUAUGUAUAUGUUGAGAGCCAGUAACAUCAGCGUUGGCAAUUAGCCUGAGAUCAGUGCCUGGAACAAAAUAAAUCCACCAAAGUUUCCCAUAUGCUGCCCAGAUGUCCUACAAAUAGAUUAUGAGAUACUGCUUGUUGCUCCUUAUAUGUCCCAUCAUAACCACUGAUUCUUAAUGCUAUUUUUUUUUUUACCAUCUAGCUAUUAAAAAUGACAGGCAGAAUUAUGCAACAGAAGAUUCGUUUGGGAAAUCUCAUUCACAGUCUGCACAUAUACUCAAGGAGACAAGCCCAUUUCUUAAAUACAUCUGUAGUUUAGGAGGAACCUGUGAUAAAUCUAAACCAAGAAGAAUAUUUUGAUGAGCUGAGGCUAAUAAUGCAUCCUUGCCUCUCAUGCUCCAGCAGAAAAAGAGCUAAUGAAUUAUUGACAAUCUAAGGAUUUUCUGUUAUAUAAACCAGAAGCUCUAUUCCUUAAUACAGAGCAGCUCCUCACUAUGUAGAAAGGGGAGUAUGUGCAAAGCUGGCAAGAUCGUUCAAUAUGACAGAACUUGUCAAAUACAAGAAACCAGGAACUACUGGUAUGUCUUGAAGAGAUCAUUUCAUAUCCAAACCUCCAAUCCUUGUAAGUGCAGCAUCAGGAAGCAAGAUGGACUUCAGAACAAUGCAUAUUGCUACCAGAAGUACCAAUGGAAAUUACAGGAUGAAAAGGAUUUGUGGUGGCCCUCUGCAAAGAUCAUUUCUCUCCAUUAUUCUUCAUGGGACAAAACCUCGGCUUCUCUAAAUGCAGUGGUGGUGCCCAUGGGCUGAGAGGAGCACGAAGUUUGUUGACAUCACCGACCUGCAGAGACAGCAGAAGCGGAUACCCAAUUUAGGAACAUGUCUACAGUGUGAACACUGGGGUUUGUGUUGCUUUUAGAAUUCCCACGAUGCACCAUUUCACGCUUUUUGCUGCUGUUACGGCUCGGUGCAGAUUAUUGCUCUGGGCCCUGUCUGUGUCUUCCUAUUGAGCACAGAGUCAUGUCAAGGAGAACGUCCCACUGACAUAUCUAUUUGCACUGUCCUCUACAAAAAUUUACCAUGGCCCAUGAACAGAAAAAAUACUCCCUCUGAACUCUUACACACAUACUGCUUAAGAUAAGGCAAUUAAAUGAUUUAGUUCUUGGAUGUAUCUACUUUUAGCAUAUGGAUUUCAUAUGCUGUUGGCUAUGAAAAGAAUGAACACUCCAGUAAAAGGAAUAUUAGUUAAUGGAUAAGAAGAAGGUCACUCAAAUUAUUUCAGCACUGGAAGAAGAGUUGGUUUUGCACAAGGUUGUGAAUAUCUGGAAAGGACUGGUAAUACCAGAUCAUCCUUUGAUUUAGCCAUUUAAAUAUUCUGUUAAUGUUCAUAAAUCUUUAAGGAUCUGAUCCUGUGAAGUCAUAUUUGCAUGAAUAAGCCUUAUUCACAAACAGUCUCAGUGACUUAUGUUGGUUCAUUUGCGUCAGAAAAAAAUAAUCGGGAUGGUAGUACUGGGUCCUCUUAUAUUUAUAAACUCUGAUCAAGAUUAUUUUAUGAGGUAAACUUAAGAACCAUCUGGCAUCACCUAUCAUUUCCUGCUGCUUAAUUGCAAUAGCUAUGUGUAGAAGUCAGUGAGUAUUAGCAAUUUCUUUCUUAUCUGAGGGCAGCCAAAUGACCUUCUCCAUUAGACUUAUAUUCCUUCCUAAGAGAGGAUUACUCCUUUGACUUCUAUUUAUCAUAUGAAAUGGAUGUGUGAGACAAUAAGCCUAUGAGAAAUCCACUAGUGGGGCUGCUCAUGGGACAUGUUCUCGAGAGUGAAGUUUCUUCCACUAAGAAUAAUAGCACAUUCUUCCUACUACACACACAGCCAACUGAGGGGGAGCACAACAUCAGCUGUAUUUCAGUUCUUACAAAUCUCUGACAUUUUUAACAGCAAGUAGCUGUGCAUCACUUUACAGUAAUCUUCCCCAGAAAAAAUUACUUUCUUUUCCUUUACAGAGAUAUACUAAACACCCAUUAAUUCCAGCUGAAGUUACAGAUGCUUAGCUGCUCUCAGGAGCGAGUCUUUGAAUACAAACCUGCAAACCAGCUACUCGCAUGCAGCUGGUCAGAAAACUUGUUUUAAGAACUGCAGAACAGAGAUUUCAUCAACAAGAAUAAAUAUUUCUGUCCUUGGGGAUGUUCUUUUUUCUUAGUACGAGGUAUCACGCACAAGUCAACAGGAUGAAUAACACCAUGGGUAAUGUGGCAAGUAAAGUCAUGCAAGCUGGGAUCUGUCUUCCCUUAUACUGUUACAAUAAUUAUAUAAAUGAUUCAGUCCACAAAAUGCUUCUAGAGAUUCAACUUUAAAGGGAAUUUACCACAACAGAGAGAUGGGAUUUUUAUCUAAUCAAAGAAUUACUUCUUGCUAUUUACCCAAAUGAAAAGAUCAGCCAAUCUUUUUCAUUUAAAAAAUACUUUUGCAGCAAGUCACUCCAAGGAGAUUUUUGGUGCCUCUGAUAUGAAUAUUGUACUGUGGGUAAGGACUAUUAAGUGCAUCCACCUCGGGUGCUGUACCCUGCUGUCUUAUGCCUAUAUUCUGAGCAGUAAUAAUAUAAACACAAGUUGAAUUUGGAAAAAAAUGGCUCCUGCAUUAUAGAUUUGGGGUUCUCAGCAACUAUCCAAAUGAAUGUCUUAAAAUGAAUCUAAGUCAGCUUCAGUCAAAGGAAGAAAAAUCUCAGAGCCUGAGAAUCUCAUUGUGUCCCAUUAAGAAUCUCAUUGCAUGUCCCUUUGUAAACAAUACAGGGCUUGCAGUCUGGUCAUGGCUCCUCCUGGUGCUGCCUUUGGGGCACCACCCAACC